CAAGUCGAACGUGAAGCCAGAGCUUGCUCUGGUGGAAAGUGGCGGACGGGUGAGUAACGCGUGGGAAUUUACCCAGUGGUUCGGAAUAACGCAGGGAAACUUGUGCUAAUACCGGAUACGCCCUCCGGGGGAAAGAUUUAUCGCCAUUGGAUGAGCCCGCGUCGGAUUAGCUUGUUGGUGAGGUAAUGGCUCACCAAGGCGACGAUCCGUAGCUGGUCUGAGAGGAUGAUCAGCCACACUGGGACUGAGACACGGCCCAGACCCCUACGGGAGGCAGCAGUGGGGAAUAUUGCGCAAUGGAGGAAACUCUGACGCAGCCAUGCCGCGUGAGUGAAGAAGGCCUUAGGGUUGUAAAACUCUUUCAGUGGUGAAGAUAAUGACGGUAGCCACAGAAGAAGCCCCGGCCAACUCCGUGCCAGCAGCCGCGGUAAUACGGAGGGGGCUAGCGUUGUUCGGAAUUACUGGGCGUAAAGCGCGCGUAGGCGGGCUGGUAAGUUGGGGGUGAAAUCCCAGGGCUCAACCCUGGAACUGCCCUCAAUACUGCCAGUCUUGAGUUCGAGAGAGGUAAGUGGAAUUCCUAGUGUAGAGGUGAAAUUCGUAGAUAUUAGGAAGAACA
This 616-nucleotide ribosomal RNA is filed under the name uncultured bacterium. RNAcentral describes it as "bacterial SSU rRNA". It matches the Rfam family "Bacterial small subunit ribosomal RNA", at positions 58 to 708 of the family's 1533-position model. The record is from RNAcentral.